AACGCUAGCUACAGGCUUAACACAUGCAAGUCGCGGGGCAGCAUGAAUUUAGCUUGCUAAAUUUGAUGGCGACCGGCGCACGGGUGAGUAACGCGUAUCCAACCUUCCCUUAUCCACGGGAUAGCCCGUCGAAAGGCGGAUUAAUACCGUAUGAGGUCAUUUGAUGGCAUCUGAUUAUGACGAAAGGUUUAGCGGAUAAGGAUGGGGAUGCGUCCGAUUAGCUAGUUGGCGGGGUAACGGCCCACCAAGGCGACGAUCGGUAGGGGUUCUGAGAGGAAGGUCCCCCACAUUGGAACUGAGACACGGUCCAAACUCCUACGGGAGGCAGCAGUGAGGAAUAUUGGUCAAUGGACGAGAGUCUGAACCAGCCAAGUAGCGUGCAGGAUGACGGCCCUAUGGGUUGUAAACUGCUUUUAUGUGGGAAUAAAUAAGAUUACGUGUAAUCUGUUGCAUGUACCACAUGAAUAAGGACCGGCUAAUUCCGUGCCAGCAGCCGCGGUAAUACGGAAGGUCCGGGCGUUAUCCGGAUUUAUUGGGUUUAAAGGGAGCGUAGGCGGUCUGUUAAGCGUGUUGUGAAAUGUAACGGCUCAACCGUUGACUUGCAGCGCGAACUGGCAGUCUUGAGUGCGCAGGAAGUAGGCGGAAUUCGUGGUGUAGCGGUGAAAUGCUUAGAUAUCACGAAGAACUCCGAUUG
RNAcentral lists this ribosomal RNA (694 nucleotides) under uncultured bacterium. Its description in RNAcentral is "partial 16S ribosomal RNA". It matches the Rfam family "Bacterial small subunit ribosomal RNA", at positions 32 to 715 of the family's 1533-position model. The record is from RNAcentral.